GUCACAGACCCAAGGCGUCUGAGGCUGGAAGAAACCAGGGGAUCAUCCCUUCCCUCAAUUUGAGAUUAGGAAAGGAGGUCUGGGGAGGUGAAUGGAUUUAUCCGGGGUAAGUUUUACACAGGGAGUGAGUUUUUAUAUUGGGAUUUGAACCCGCGUUAUCCUAAAACAAAAUCAGCACAUUUGCCUCAUCCAGCCUCCAGAGCCGUGGCACGGAGGAGGGAGUGGCCAUAGACUCAUCCGAUGGGUAUAGGGAACCCGAGUUCGAACGCCACCUCUGGUUUUGUAAACUUUAAUAUUUCAACUCUUUCCCCCCCUGAGGUAGUAAAGAUAGAUUCAGGAAAACUGUUUGAACCUCACUUCAGACGGCGUGAUCUCUGAUAUAUUUAAUCUCACUGACCUCAGUUUCCCUAUCUAUAUAAUGGGAACAAUCAUAAUGUAACAAUUACCUCAACAAUUGUUGUGAGGGUCAAAUGAGAUCAUUUAAGUGAAAGGUUUUAAAACCUUAAAAGUUCUAUAUAAAUUACUUGUAAACUCUGCAAUUUUGUAAUGUCGGAAACAGCUUCAGUUUACCAAACUAAAAAUUAAUUUCAGAUGAUUUUCAACAUUUCUAAAGAAAAAUGAACCUACCAAUUCGAUUCCUCUACAGCGAUGGAUAAUUUUAAGUUUUCAUCUGAAAAUGUCUCAUUAUCUCAAGUUCUUAGAAGACAGUCACGAUAUUGUCCGUUUUAUGAAACAAUUACUUUGCCGAUAUCUCUUUUAAAGGUUUUGUGAUCCGUAAGACAGUGAAAUCACUCAAGACUUGGAGACAGAUUCAGAGAAGACAGAAGACAGGAGGCUGGAGCUUAAGGUCUCAGAGCGAAGGAGAGACAUUCAUUCCAUUUCACACCAUCGUGGUGACUGGCCUAUCUUCCUGCAUUUCCUAUACUGAAACUAAGGCCCUUCUGAAGGCCCUCCAGAAAGCUGGCCAAUCCCCAGGCAAGGAGACAGACUGUGAAGGAGACAAUAAAGACUUUUGGACUUUAUCAGCUGGCUAUUCUUGUGGUGAUUAUUCAGCUGAAACAAAGGCUGGUCUAAAGACUUCCAGAAAACUAACCAGAACAUUACAGAAACCAUUCCAGUAUCUUUGUCAAAAAAAUCCCCCAAAGGGGUCACAAAAAGUCUGACUUGACUGGAAAUAACUAAACUAGAAUUUCUUUAAAUUAAUCACUGAAACUGUGUUAUAUAUUAUUAAUAACACAAUGGUACUUAAUUACAUUUCAAAUCCAUCACAAUUUAAAUAAAAUUUUCCUGGGAAUGUGUAAACUUUGUGUCUACAAAGAGAGCCUUGGAAUAAUAAAAGCAGUAUUAGUAUUCUGUCAAGUCAUUUACUAAGUGGGCUGUGGAGGGACUGUAAUUUAUUGUUUUAAUGACAGAAUCACUUGCCUAAUAUGUUAUUUACUCUUCUGUCUCAUUGUGAGAAAAAUAGCAAGGGGAGAAAAAAACCUCUGAAUCUAAAGGAAAUAAAUAGCACCCCCCACAAAAAACAAAACAACAACAAAAAAAAAAAACAAGGUGAAGCAUGUCUAUACAAGACUGUCAUCAUGUGUACUUACAAUUGGCUAAUAUGACUUUGCUUUUACCCAAAAGAGAAACAAAAAUCAAGGGAUGAUUUAGAUUUAGGCGAGUGAUGACAAAAUCAGUUUGGUCAUAUAACAAUCAGUAGGAGAGAUAGUGUGUUCCAAAAACAGUGUUCAAAUCCACAAAACAUUAUCUCAUGUCCAUACAGACACUGGAUAAACUUGACGGAUUAAAAUAAGAUUUUGAUGCUAAAAAACAAAAUCCUGGAGUCAGUACCGUGAAGCCAGUAUCCAAACUUCAAAUGAACUGGAAGUUCCCAUAAUUUAGGAAACCAGUAAAGAAAUUUAAUUGUGGUUUUGUAAAUCUACUUAACCAAACAAUAAAUUUGAAAUCUUGAGUGUAUUCAGAUAUAAGGUUAAAUUUAGGAUGUUUAGCGU
This 1994-nucleotide long non-coding RNA is filed under the name Sarcophilus harrisii (Tasmanian devil). Its description in RNAcentral is "lncRNA (ENSSHAG00000022542.1)". The record is from RNAcentral. Lineage: Eukaryota; Metazoa; Chordata; Mammalia; Dasyuromorphia; Dasyuridae.